Molecule: ribosomal RNA, 654 nt
Filed under: Triticum aestivum (bread wheat)
Lineage: Eukaryota; Viridiplantae; Streptophyta; Magnoliopsida; Poales; Poaceae
Description: partial small subunit ribosomal RNA
Source: RNAcentral
AUGACGGGCAUGGAAGGCUCUUACCAGGCAAAUGAAUUGUCCUAUGCAGGGGACUACAUUGGUACUCAGCCAGUGCGCUCCCAUUACCCGUGGUUUGACCCAAGGAUUUCUCAAAUGCAAGGCGACAGGGUUAAUUUCCUACAGAUGAUCCCGCCUUACUCAUUGGCCUAUCCGGGCCAUCAGUUUGGAACAUCGACACAUCCUCUUGCUGUUGUGAGUAACAAUUGCGUUCCGGUGACUGGACAACAUGCUACCCCAGUUGUCAAACAUAAAGAAAAUGCAUUAGUGUUGAGUCCAGGCUUUGGCAUGAACAUGUCAUACACACAAAUGUUGCUUGCAGCUGAAUCGGAGGAUCCUCUAUUUGGUUCACCACACACAGAGUACUAUCCUGUUGGGGCUGAGAACGAGACAUUUAUGGUAACUGGACGGAACACAAGGUUGGGCGAGCUAGUUGACAUGGACAAUCCAGAAUCAAGCAACUACAUUGAACAAGAUGAUCCUAGCAAUUGGAUUAACAACCAGAGAGAUUUCCAGGAGGCUGAUUUAGCAUUGCAAACUGUCACAUGGGAUGAUGGCGUCCCAGCUCCUGGUGCAGAGCUUUUGCAGGCUCUAGGCAUUUGUCCUGGAGACAAUCAAAAUGAAGACAAUACAUGA